RNAcentral lists this ribosomal RNA (427 nucleotides) under uncultured bacterium. RNAcentral describes it as "partial 16S ribosomal RNA". It matches the Rfam family "Bacterial small subunit ribosomal RNA", at positions 355 to 774 of the family's 1533-position model. The record is from RNAcentral.
UGGGGAAUAUUGCACAAUGGGCGCAAGCCUGAUGCAGCCAUGCCGCGUGUAUGAAGAAGGCCUUCGGGUUGUAAAGUACUUUCAGCGGGGAGGAAGGUGUUGUGGUUAAUAACCACAGCAAUUGACGUUACCCGCAGAAGAAGCACCGGCUAACUCCGUGCCAGCAGCCGCGGUACUACGGAGGGUGCAAGCGUUAAUCGGAAUUACUGGGCGUAAAGCGCACGCAGGCGGUCUGUCAAGUCGGAUGUGAAAUCCCCGGGCUCAACCUGGGAACUGCAUCCGAAACUGGCAGGCUUGAGUCUUGUAGAGGGGGGUAGAAUUCCAGGUGUAGCGGUGAAAUGCGUAGAGAUCUGGAGGAAUACCGGUGGCGAAGGCGGCCCCCUGGACAAAGACUGACGCUCAGGUGCGAAAGCGUGGGGAGCAAACA